UUCUUUUUAUUGCCAAACGUGGGUAAGCCCCAGCUCCAAAACACUCCCAACAAACCCAUACGCUCUUCAUCUCCAAAACCCUAGUCUUAUACAGCCGCUCAUCACGGAGAAUCUCGCAAUCGAAGACGAAGCUCUCUCCCUAUUCUCGCCAUAUAUUCAUCGACAUGGCCGUGUAAUCACUUGUAUCUGUUUCAAAAUCUAGUGUUUUUUUUUUUGUUUUUUGUUUUUUGGGUCAGAUUAUUCAUACAUUUGAGGCACAAAACAUGUACACAUAUAUGUAUACUAGCCUCUCUCUCUCUCUCUCUCUCUCUCUCAACGUGAUCGUUCUUGGAGUUUUCAGAUCUUCAGAAGCAAAUCGUCUGAUUCCUCUUCUGCGGAAGCAAUUCGUUUAACAUAUCGGAUUGAACGUGAUGAUCGUUCUUGAAGUUUUCAGUUGUGUGCAGGUGUUAAUACUUCACAUAGAGUCCUUGAUCUGUUAUUGUGGAGUCAAAUAUAUUCUCACAAAAUCAGAUGGCCAAGUGAAAACGGAGAUGAUGCUGAAAAAGUAAAAGGUCUGAGCAAGAAGGAUAUGGUGGUGGUAGUGUUGAGACUAAUGUGGGAAGAAAGAAGAGGGCCCUAGUCUGUGUAUGAGUUGUUACACUGUGACGUUCGCAACCUCUUCUAAAGCAAUUAUACCAUGCUUAGGCAUGGUGAUGGGUCGAAAGAAAAGGCGUGGGUUGCAUUCUACUAUUGAGUGCUAACCUAGACUUCUCCCAACACUACAUCCCCAUUCUUUUAACACAUCUUAACUGCCAUCGUGUUUCCUGCAUUGAUCAAAAUUUCAUUCUGAUCCU
Long non-coding RNA from Camellia sinensis, 833 nucleotides. RefSeq lists it as uncharacterized. The record is from RefSeq and is a predicted model, not a curated record. Lineage: Eukaryota; Viridiplantae; Streptophyta; Magnoliopsida; Ericales; Theaceae.